RNAcentral lists this ribosomal RNA (465 nucleotides) under Staphylococcus epidermidis. Its description in RNAcentral is "bacterial SSU rRNA". It matches the Rfam family "Bacterial small subunit ribosomal RNA", at positions 23 to 477 of the family's 1533-position model. The record is from RNAcentral. Lineage: Bacteria; Bacillati; Bacillota; Bacilli; Caryophanales; Staphylococcaceae.
CUCAGGAUGAACGCUGGCGGCGUGCCUAAUACAUGCAAGUCGAGCGAACAGACGAGGAGCUUGCUCCUCUGACGUUAGCGGCGGACGGGUGAGUAACACGUGGAUAACCUACCUAUAAGACUGGGAUAACUUCGGGAAACCGGAGCUAAUACCGGAUAAUAUAUUGAACCGCAUGGUUCAAUAGUGAAAGACGGUUUUGCUGUCACUUAUAGAUGGAUCCGCGCCGCAUUAGCUAGUUGGUAAGGUAACGGCUUACCAAGGCAACGAUGCGUAGCCGACCUGAGAGGGUGAUCGGCCACACUGGAACUGAGACACGGUCCAGACUCCUACGGGAGGCAGCAGUAGGGAAUCUUCCGCAAUGGGCGAAAGCCUGACGGAGCAACGCCGCGUGAGUGAUGAAGGUCUUCGGAUCGUAAAACUCUGUUAUUAGGGAAGAACAAAUGUGUAAAGUAACUAUGCACGUCU